UCGAACGGAGGUAGCAAUACCUCAGUGGCGGACGGGUGAGUAACGCGUGAGAAUCUGCCUUCAGGUUCGGGACAACCACUGGAAACGGUGGCUAAUACCGGAUGUGCUUUACGGUGAAAGAUUUAUCGCCUGAAGAGGAGCUCGCGUCUGAUUAGCUAGUUGGUAGGGUAAAAGCCUACCAAGGCGACGAUCAGUAGCUGGUCUGAGAGGAUGAUCAGCCACACUGGGACUGAGACACGGCCCAGACUCCUACGGGAGGCAGCAGUGGGGAAUUUUCCGCAAUGGGCGAAAGCCUGACGGAGCAAGACCGCGUGAGGGAGGAAGGCUCUUGGGUUGUAAACCUCUUUUCUCAGGGAAGAACACAAUGACGGUACCUGAGGAAUCAGCCUCGGCUAACUCCGUGCCAGCAGCCGCGGUAAUACGGAGGAGGCAAGCGUUA
This 439-nucleotide ribosomal RNA is filed under the name uncultured bacterium. RNAcentral describes it as "bacterial SSU rRNA". It matches the Rfam family "Bacterial small subunit ribosomal RNA", at positions 62 to 543 of the family's 1533-position model. The record is from RNAcentral.